This 252-nucleotide ribosomal RNA is filed under the name uncultured bacterium. RNAcentral describes it as "partial 16S ribosomal RNA". It matches the Rfam family "Bacterial small subunit ribosomal RNA", at positions 524 to 776 of the family's 1533-position model. The record is from RNAcentral.
UACGUAGGUGGCAAGCGUUGUCCGGAUUUACUGGGCGUAAAGAGCGCGCAGGCGGUCGUCCAAGUCGCGUGUGAAAGCCCCCGGCUCAACUGGGGAGGGUCACGCGAUACUGGUCGACUCGAAGGCAGGAGAGGGUAGUGGAAUUCCCGGUGUAGUGGUGAAAUGCGUAGAUAUGGGAGGAACACCAGUGGCGAAGGCGACUACCUGGCCUGUUCUUGACGCUGAGGCGCGAAAGCUAGGGGAGCAAACGGG